GUAGGUGAACCUGCGGAAGGAUCAUUAUAGAAAUAAAACUGAACAGGCUGUUUUUGCUGGUCCUUCUCGAGGGACAUGUGCACGCCUGUCGUCUUUAUUUUUCCAACUGUGCACAUAUUGUAGACCUGGAGCUUUUUUUCUUAUCGUUCGAAUAGAUUGAGGACUGCCGUUGAGGCUUUGCCUUGUAUUUUCCAGGUCUAUGUUGUAAUACAUUUUCACAACGUGUUUCAGAAUGUCGAGUACUGGGGAUAACAAAUAUACAACUUUCAGCAACGGAUCUCUUGGCUCUC
Molecule: unclassified non-coding RNA, 290 nt
Filed under: rhizosphere metagenome
Description: partial ribosomal RNA internal transcribed spacer region
Source: RNAcentral